RNAcentral lists this ribosomal RNA (1343 nucleotides) under metagenome. Its description in RNAcentral is "SSU rRNA". It matches the Rfam family "Eukaryotic small subunit ribosomal RNA", at positions 225 to 1593 of the family's 1831-position model. The record is from RNAcentral.
AGCUUCGGUUCCGUCUCACUGGUGACUCUGAAUAACAUUGCUGAUCGUACGGCCUUGUGCCGACGACGAGUCUUUCAAGUGUCUGCCUUAUCAACUGUCGAUGGUAGGUUAUGCGCCUACCAUGGUUGUAACGGGUAACGGGGAAUCAGGGUUCGAUUCCGGAGAGGGAGCCUGAGAAACGGCUACCACAUCCAAGGAAGGCAGCAGGCGCGCAAAUUACCCACUCCCGGCACGGGGAGGUAGUGACGAAAAAUAACGAUACGGAACUCAUACGAGGCUCCGUAAUCGGAAUGAGUACACUUUAAAUCCUUUAACGAGGAUCUAUUGGAGGGCAAGUCUGGUGCCAGCAGCCGCGGUAAUUCCAGCUCCAAUAGCGUAUAUUAAAGUUGUUGCGGUUAAAAAGCUCGUAGUUGGAUCUCGGUUUCACUCAGGCGGUACACCUUGCGGUGUUCACUGUCUGGGCGGACGUUUCUGUCGGUUCGCUGUUGGUUCUCUUAAUCGAGUGCCAGCCGGUGGCCAGCACGUUUACUUUGAAAAAAUUGGAGUGCUCAAAGCAGGCGUUACAGCCUGAACAUUAGUGCAUGGAAUAAUGGAAUAGGAUCUCGAUUCUAUUUCGUUGGCUUUCGGAGUCGAGGUAAUGAUUAAUAGGGACAGACGGGGGCAUUCGUACUGCGACGUUAGAGGUGAAAUUCUUGGAUCGUCGCAAGACGAACUACUGCGAAAGCAUUUGCCAAGAAUGUUUUCAUUAAUCAAGAACGAAAGUUAGAGGUUCGAAGGCGAUCAGAUACCGCCCUAGUUCUAACCAUAAACGAUGCCAACCGGCGAUCCGUCGUCGUUAAUUGAAUGACUCGACGGGCAGCCUCCGGGAAACCAGAGUGUUUGGGUUCCGGGGGAAGUAUGGUUGCAAAGCUGAAACUUAAAGGAAUUGACGGAAGGGCACCACCAGGAGUGGAGCCUGCGGCUUAAUUUGACCCAACACGGGAAAUCUCACCAGGCCCGGACACCGGAAGGAUUGACAGAUUGAGAGCUCUUUCUUGAUUCGGUGGGUGGUGGUGCAUGGCCGUUCUUAGUUGGUGGAGCGAUUUGUCUGGUUAAUUCCGAUAACGAACGAGACUCUGGCCUACUAACUAGAAGGGCCGUUCUUUAUGAGCGGUCCUCUGCUUCUUAGAGGGACGGGCGGCGUUUAGCCGCACGAGAAUGAGCAAUAACAGGUCUGUGAUGCCCUUAGAUGUUCUGGGCUGCACGCGCGCUACACUGAAGGAAUCAGCAUGUUCUCCCCUCCCUGAAAAGGGCGGGUAACCCGUUGAAACUCCUUCGUGAUGGGGAUUGGAGAUUGUAAUUAU